RNAcentral lists this ribosomal RNA (428 nucleotides) under uncultured bacterium. RNAcentral's name for it is "bacterial SSU rRNA". It matches the Rfam family "Bacterial small subunit ribosomal RNA", at positions 31 to 463 of the family's 1533-position model. The record is from RNAcentral.
GAACGCUGGCGGGCAUCCCUUACGCAUCCAAGUCGAACGGUAACAGGUCUUCGGAUGCUGACGAGUGGCGAACGGGUGAGUAAUACAUCGGAACGUGCCCGAGAGUGGGGGAUAACGAAGCGAAAGCUUUGCUAAUACCGCAUACGAUCUCAGGAUGAAAGCAGGGGACCGCAAGGCCUUGCGCUCACGGAGCGGCCGAUGGCAGAUUAGUAGUUGGUGGGAUAAAAGCUUACCAAGCCGACGAUCUGUAGCUGGUCUGAGAGGACGACCAGCCACACUGGGACUGAGACACGGCCCAGACUCCUACGGGAGGCAGCAGUGGGGAAUUUUGGACAAUGGGCGCAAGCCUGAUCCAGCCAUGCCGCGUGCAGGAUGAAGGCCUUCGGGUUGUAAACUGCUUUUGUACGGAACGAAAAGACUCUGGUUAA